GCCUCCUAAUUUUCCUUACAAAGAUGAUAUCAUGGCGGUGAAUCCUACCUGUUUGGUCCUUAUUAUUCUUCUGUUUAUCAGCAUCAUGUUGACUUUUAAGGGUUACUUGAUUAGCUGUGUUUGGAACUGCUACCGAUACAUCAAUGGCAGGAAUUCCUCCGACGUCCUGGUUUAUGUUACCAGCAAUGACACUACGGUGCUGUUGCCUCCGUAUGAUGAGGCCCCAGCGAAUGGCGCUGCCAAGGAGCCGCCGCCACCUUACGUGUCUGCCUAGACCUGGAAGUGGGCACAGCUGAGAGCGACAGCUUGCCUCUCAGACAUCAGAGCAAUAGUUCUUUAAUUUUACUUCUGAGAUGAGCUCUCUGAGCUUUUUUGUUGCUGAGAUGCUCCAGUUUAAAAUGUUAGAUGUUAAGUUGAAACUAUCUGUAGUUCGAAACAUAUGCUUUUUAGCUAGAGCACUGUAUUAGAGUAACUGUAGCAUUUUCCCUGUGGGGGGUGGGAGCGGUGGGCUCCCCUGGUGUCCCCUCAGCAUCCACACUGAACCCCCAGCAUCCAAGAAUUUGUGUCCCUUCUCUCUGUUCCCUCUUUCUCUUUUGCAAGUGUGAAAGAAAACCAAAAUUAGACAGUGCUUUUCUUAGGCCAUUCCAGUGCAUAGAACAAACCCUGAGGAGAGCCAGGGAUGUUAAUUACGGAAGGAGGCCAUGUAUAUACAUUAAUAAAACAGGCAUUUCCUCAGAUCCCUUUAUGAUUUAAAUUCGGUGGCAGUUUGAUUUUGCUGGUCGAGUAUUUUGGCCACAGGCUAAAUUGAGACCCUUUGACCAUCCCGGGCAGUGAGAGCCAGCAGUCACCCCUUCCCAGUGGCCGCUCCUGUCACUUGUGUCUGGGGUCGUGGCAUGGCGUGUUGGGGGGGCAACUCUUUUGUUUGGUAGUGCAUGGUGUCGGGGUUCCCCUCCCCCUUUCUGGUUUCCCAUCCCCCUUCAGAGCCCCCUUUCACUAAACGUUCUGCCCUAGCCUGACUCAGGACAUCCGGCAUCCUUUGUUCAGUGGGAUUUCUGGUCCAUAUUUACCUAGCAAUAUAAGGAGAGGCUUCUCUCCUGCAAGGCACGUCUCAUUGCACGUCUAAUAAUUACACCUCGUCUUCUUUUACAAUGAGUAUAAAACAGUGUUCUCGGAAUAACGGGAGGGAGGGUGCUUUCCUUGUGAAAUGCCCUUAUCUGGACUACCUGUAUCUUGGGGGACUUUUAUAUAUUCCUGUGUUCAAAAGCCACAGCUCUCCUGUUGGUUCAUCUUUGAAUGUGCUAUAUACAUGAAGGCUUUUGCAAUUAAAAAUGACAUUUGGCCACAUCCAAGAAAUCAGCCUUGUGACUCUGUGGUGAUUGGGCCUGGGACACCCCUGCCACUCCCCCUCUCACUCUCCCCCCGACCCCCCACCCCCUCCCACCCAUGGGGGGCUGCACAGACACAUACCGUUGGGCCUGAGGAGGAGGUGUUAUAGCUUGUCUCACACACGUGUGUUUUUUAAUAUUGCAGUGCUGAUAAAAUCUGAGCAUCUUAGGCCAAGAGAAAUGGAGAGGAACAGACAAGGUUGCAUCACUCCUGACCCUGCCUCUGCCAGGCUCUGCCAGCUCAGCUCCUUUGGGUGUGACUGCUUCUGUCCACGGUGCACUCUUAAUACGCAGUUCAGAUUUUACUAUGUAAGGAGCGGUUUUGGCUUGUUCCUGAUCAGGUAUUUCAGACAACUUGGAAAUGUACAGAAAAUAAAAUGAGGUGAAGGGGGUGAUUUUGAUCCCGG
Molecule: long non-coding RNA, 1792 nt
Filed under: Sus scrofa (pig)
Lineage: Eukaryota; Metazoa; Chordata; Mammalia; Artiodactyla; Suidae
Description: lncRNA (ENSSSCG00050027662.1)
Source: RNAcentral